Molecule: long non-coding RNA, 749 nt
Organism: Elaeis guineensis (African oil palm)
Lineage: Eukaryota; Viridiplantae; Streptophyta; Magnoliopsida; Arecales; Arecaceae
Source: RefSeq, a predicted model, not a curated record
GACCGAAGAGGAAUCGGAUCCCUGAUCUUGAGAGAUAACUUAAGGAAAAAUAGAAUCGACCAACUGAAAAAGGAAGCCUUUACAUGUCAAAGGUAAUGCACUCUGAGCUUUCUUCACCACUAAGAAAGCUCUAGGCUUGUAGAGUGGAUGGCCAUUCAACAUAUAUAGAUUUUGACACUAGGAGGAAGGAAGCAUCACUGAAUAACUCCCUUUCACACAAUCCCUUUUAGAAAUCAUAGUAGUAUAUGUCCAUAUAUAAGGUUAAGUUCAUCUAUAUCUAUGCAUACAACUUAGCUCACGCCAGAAUCGAAGCACAAAAAACCACAUAACUGCCUGCUGCUUCUCCGCCACUUCCUUGAUGGACUCAGUAGCUCAAGGAACCCAACCUCCACCAGGGUACCCAAGUGAUCCGGGGGCACCGAAGAACAGGACAGGCAAUCCCCGUAUCAAGAAGAAAGGCGACAGAGGGUUCAUUGAAGGAUGUCUUGCUGCACUUUGUUGUUGUUGGAUAUGUGAAACCUGCUUCUGAUGAAGAGUGGAGACAAAUCAGACGAGACACAAACUAUAAGAGCAUUACAAACGGAUAAUAGGAGUAUCACAUCGUGCUUUUCAAUGGAUUGUAAUCUUAUGUUGAUGUAAUAAUCAAGCCAAGGACUUGCAUAUAUUUGCUCCAUUUGAGAGUUUGGUUUGUAACUCUUUUUUCUAGUGUAUCAUCCAGUAUUAGAAACUACCUGUCUAUCUUUCUCCUA